RNAcentral lists this ribosomal RNA (464 nucleotides) under uncultured bacterium. Its description in RNAcentral is "bacterial SSU rRNA". It matches the Rfam family "Bacterial small subunit ribosomal RNA", at positions 338 to 795 of the family's 1533-position model. The record is from RNAcentral.
CCUACGGGCCGCAGCAGUGGGGAAUAUUGCACAAUGGGCGCAAGCCUGAUGCAGCCAUACCGCGUGUAUGAAGAAGGCCUUCGGGUUGUAAAGUACUUUCAGCGAGGAGGAAGGCAUUAAGGUUAAUAACCUUGGUGAUUGACGUUACUCGCAGAAGAAGCACCGGCUAACUCCGUGCCAGCAGCCGCGGUAAUACGGAGGGUGCAAGCGUUAAUCGGAAUUACUGGGCGUAAAGCGCACGCAGCGGUCUGUCAAGUCGGAUGUGAAAUCCCCGGGCUCAACCUGGGAACUGCAUUCGAAACUGGCAGGCUAGAGUCUUGUAGAGGGGGGUAGAAUUCCAGGUGUAGCGGUGAAAUGCGUAGAGAUCUGGAGGAAUACCGGUGGCGAAGGCAGCCCCCUGGACAAAGACUGACGCUCAGGUGCGAAAGCGUGGGGAGCAAACAGGAUUAGAUACCCUCGUAAUC